This 253-nucleotide ribosomal RNA is filed under the name uncultured bacterium. RNAcentral's name for it is "partial 16S ribosomal RNA". It matches the Rfam family "Bacterial small subunit ribosomal RNA", at positions 524 to 776 of the family's 1533-position model. The record is from RNAcentral.
UACGUAGGGUGCGAGCGUUAAUCGGAAUUACUGGGCGUAAAGCGUGCGCAGGCGGUUUGCUAAGACAGAUGUGAAAUCCCCGGGCUUAACUUGGGAACUGCGUUUGUAACUGGCAAGCUAGAGUGUGGCAGAGGGGGGUGGAAUUCCAAGUGUAGCAGUGAAAUGCGUAGAUAUUUGGAGGAACACCAAUGGCGAAGGCAGCCCCCUGGGUUAACACUGACGCUCAUGCACGAAAGCGUGGGGAGCAAACAGG